RNAcentral lists this ribosomal RNA (158 nucleotides) under Grosmannia cf. pruni 130GRJ. Its description in RNAcentral is "Leptographium cf. pruni 130GRJ 5.8S ribosomal RNA". It matches the Rfam family "5.8S ribosomal RNA". Rfam says of the family: 5.8S ribosomal RNA (5.8S rRNA) is a component of the large subunit of the eukaryotic ribosome. It is transcribed by RNA polymerase I as part of the 45S precursor that also contains 18S and 28S rRNA. RNAcentral also lists the same sequence under 1 other name. Lineage: Eukaryota; Fungi; Ascomycota; Sordariomycetes; Ophiostomatales; Ophiostomataceae. The record is from RNAcentral.
AAACUUUCAACAACGGAUCUCUUGGUUCUGGCAUCGAUGAAGAACGCAGCGAACUGCGAUAAGUAAUGUGAAUUGCAGAAUUCAGCGAACCAUCGAAUCUUUGAACGCACAUUGCGCCCGCCAGCAUUCUGGCGGGCAUGCCUGUCCGAGCGUCAUUU